RNAcentral lists this ribosomal RNA (514 nucleotides) under uncultured bacterium. RNAcentral describes it as "partial 16S ribosomal RNA". It matches the Rfam family "Bacterial small subunit ribosomal RNA", at positions 28 to 523 of the family's 1533-position model. The record is from RNAcentral.
GAUGAACGCUGGCGGCGUGCCUAAUACGUGCAAGUCGAGCGAACUGAUUAGAAGCUUGCUUCUAUGACGUUAGCGGCGGACGGGUGAGUAACACGUGGGCAACCUGCCUGUAAGACUGGGAUAACUUCGGGAAACCGAAGCUAAUACCGGAUAGGAUCCUCUCCUUCAUGGGAGAUGAUUGAAAGAUGGUUUCGGCUAUCACUUACAGAUGGGCCCGCGGUGCAUUAGCUAGUCGGUGAGGUAACGGCUCACCAAGGCAACGAUGCAUAGCCGACCUGAGAGGGUGAUCGGACACACUGGGACUGAGACACGGCCCAGACGCCUACGGGAGGCAGCAGUAGGGAAUCUUCCGCAAUGGACGAAAGUCUGACGGAGCAACGCCGCGUGAGUGAUGAAGGCUUUCGGGUCGUAAAACUCUGUUGUUAGGGAAGAACAAGUACAAGAGUAACUGCUUGUACCUUGACGGUACCUAACCAGAAAGCCACGGCUAACUACGUGCCAGCCGCCGCCGCAG